UACGUAGGGGGCGAGCGUUACCCGGAUUUACUGGGCGUAAAGAGCGUGUAGGCGGCUGGCCAAGCGUGAUGUGAAAUCUUCGGGCUUAACCCGAAAACUGCAUUGCGAACUGGUCUGGCUAGAGUGUGUGAGAGGUAGUGGAAUUCCCGGUGUAGCGGUGAAAUGCGGUAGAUAUCGGGAGGAACACCAGUGGCGAAGGCGGCUACCUGGCACAUACUGACGCUGAUACGCGAAAGCGUGGGGAGCGAACCGG
RNAcentral lists this ribosomal RNA (253 nucleotides) under uncultured bacterium. Its description in RNAcentral is "partial 16S ribosomal RNA". It matches the Rfam family "Bacterial small subunit ribosomal RNA", at positions 524 to 776 of the family's 1533-position model. The record is from RNAcentral.